This 253-nucleotide ribosomal RNA is filed under the name uncultured bacterium. Its description in RNAcentral is "partial 16S ribosomal RNA". It matches the Rfam family "Bacterial small subunit ribosomal RNA", at positions 524 to 776 of the family's 1533-position model. The record is from RNAcentral.
UACGUAGGGUGCGAGCGUUGUCCGGAAUUAUUGGGCGUAAAGGGCUCGUAGGCGGUCUGUCGCGUCGGGAGUGAAAACUCAGGGCUUAACCCUGAGCCUGCUUCCGAUACGGGCAGACUAGAGGUAUGCAGGGGAGAAUGGAAUUCCUGGUGUAGCGGUGAAAUGCGCAGAUAUCAGGAGGAACACCGGUGGCGAAGGCGGGUCUCUGGGCCGAUACUGACGCUGAGGAGCGAAAGCGUGGGGAGCGAACAGG